UGGGGAAUAUUGGACAAUGGGCGAAAGCCUGAUCCAGCGACGCCGCGUGUGUGAAGAAGGCCUGCGGGUUGUAAAGCACUUUCGAUGGGAACGAAAUGUGCCGGGCUAAUACCCCGGCAAGCUGACGUUACUCAAUGAAGAAGCACCGGCUAACUCUGUGCCAGCAGCCGCGGUAAUACAGAGGGUGCGAGCGUUAAUCGGAAUUACUGGGCGUAAAGCGCACGUAGGUGGCGACGUAAGUCGGGUGUGAAAGCCCCGGGCUCAACCUGGGAAUUGCAUUCGAGACUGUGUUGCUGGAGUACGGAAGAGGAAGGCGGAAUUCCCGGUGUAGCGGUGAAAUGCGUAGAUAUCGGGAGGAACAUCAGUGGCGAAGGCGGCCUUCUGGUCCAGUACUGACACUCAAGUGCGAAAGCGUGGGGAGCAAACAGG
RNAcentral lists this ribosomal RNA (429 nucleotides) under uncultured bacterium. RNAcentral describes it as "bacterial SSU rRNA". It matches the Rfam family "Bacterial small subunit ribosomal RNA", at positions 355 to 776 of the family's 1533-position model. The record is from RNAcentral.